RNAcentral lists this ribosomal RNA (347 nucleotides) under Microtityus consuelo. RNAcentral describes it as "partial large subunit ribosomal RNA". It matches the Rfam family "Archaeal large subunit ribosomal RNA", at positions 2045 to 2631 of the family's 2987-position model. The record is from RNAcentral. Lineage: Eukaryota; Metazoa; Arthropoda; Arachnida; Scorpiones; Buthidae.
UUAGUCUUGUAAUUUAAGACUUGAAUGAAAGAGUAAACUAAAAAAGAAGUUUUUUUAUUUAUAGUUCUAAACUUUACUUUUUAGUAAAAAGGCUAAAAUUCUUCUUUUAGACAAGAAGACCCUGUAAAAUUUUACAUGAAAUUAAUAUAGGUAUUAUAUAGAAUGUUUGGCUGGGGCGGCUAAAAAGACAACUUUAAAUCUUUUUAACUUUUAGUUUUAAUACCCAAAAUUUUUGAAAAUAAAAUAAAUUACUUCAGGGAUAACAGCGUAAUUUACUUUGAAAGUUCAUAUUGACAAGUAAGUUUGCGACCUCGAUGUUGGAUUAAGAAGCCUUCCCGCGCAAGAGC